RNAcentral lists this long non-coding RNA (1394 nucleotides) under Numida meleagris (helmeted guineafowl). RNAcentral describes it as "lncRNA (ENSNMEG00000009467.1)". Lineage: Eukaryota; Metazoa; Chordata; Aves; Galliformes; Numididae. The record is from RNAcentral.
GCUCCAUUAACAGGCAUGUAUAUUGAUUGUGCAAGCGAGAUUUUUUUGGAGUGAGGCACAGUUUCAGGAGACAGCCUUCAAAAAUACUGAUAGAAGUGUGACAGAAUCACCCAUAAGAUAAUCUUGCGCAUAGAGAAAUGCGUAUUUAAACAAUAGCCAGAAGACUGUUGUGAACACUAUUUAGAGUUUACCUUGAGUGGCUUUGCCACUUUUUGUACAGUACUUAAUAUGGAGGAGACAGUGUAUCUAGUUGUCUUAGAAAUAUUUUUGCAAAAUGUUUUCUGAGUAUUCUUUUCCAUGAGGCAAAUAGAUUUUUUCAUGUAGAUUAUUAGAUGAUUAUCUUCAGCAGUGAGCCAUGGAGUGAAAUUGUGGUUUUAGAAAGCAAACUGCAGCAGUAUUUAACAUUUUCUAUAAAGACAAGUGGAACUUUCAGCUCAGGAGGGACUCAUUCCUGCACUCAUGCUUCUUUCCAGAUCAAUUUUGUUUUCAGUACUUCUGUAUUCUAAAAGCUGCACAGGUGAUGGGGUUUUGGCACAAACUGAAAGUGUAAUCAUUUUGAUGAAUUUUAGUCAUGCGUUGGGGAUGACUGCUAAAUAAGAGCCUCAUCCAAUUGCCCACCUUCUAUUCAGGAGCAUGAAGAGCCAAGGAGAAAGAAUGUUGGAUUUAGACAUGGCAGUGCAGACACCCAAACCAGCACUCCCCUCCCUACAAGUAGAAGUGGGGCAACAUCUCCUGCAGCAGCUACCCCACUACCCUAAGCCUGCAUGAAACACCCAAAGCCAUGGGGAUGGGGAUGGGUGGAGGUGUGAGGGGAGAAGAGAAGGGAUGAAAGCUGCCGGCUCUUGGUGUUGUCAUGCAGAAGUGACAAAGGCAGAGCUGGUGAUGGAGAGGUAAAAUUGCUGUGACCAGCAGGAACGGGAGAAGUUGUGUGGAAUGUGGGGCAGAAUCUGUUACUGGGCCAGAACACGGGAAGCAGAUUCCACGAAAGCAAAUGGAAGUCACAACUGCACAGAGGAAGGAUUUGGGCCAUUUUUGUUACAAUUUGAAGAAAAGUCAGAUAUAAUCUACCAGCAACAAGAUGCUGUGGUAUGUUUAACAACACAUCAACCCAACACCAAGUGCUGCCCAUGACUAAAUCCUACAAACGUUUGCUGUAACAAGAACUCCCCUUGUGUUUUUGGCAUGUUGUGCUCAUGGUUGGAUAGUCUGUCUGUGCAUGGUCAGAGUUCUACGUUCAAAUUUAUUUUAAAGUGAUGGGUUUUUGUCUUGUGCUUUACUUCCCUAACACUUUUUGGUGCUAUCUCUUACUUUCUUGGGAGGGACAUAUUAGGAAAUGCCAUAAACAUAUGUUCCUACCAUUUUAAUAAAUGAGAGAUCAGUGUUACGUACCGACA